Molecule: long non-coding RNA, 1422 nt
Filed under: Cucumis sativus (cucumber)
Lineage: Eukaryota; Viridiplantae; Streptophyta; Magnoliopsida; Cucurbitales; Cucurbitaceae
Description: long non-coding RNA (CSAT_LNC002844)
Source: RNAcentral
UCCACACUUGUUCUCCUUUCAAGAUACAAAUGAUGAAAGUUAUCUCGCCAAGGUGGAUUUUGUCUCCAAACUCCUCUUUGCACGUGUUAGGUAUAUCCUUGCUACUUACCCUCUCGAGUAGUUGGUGAUAUACGCUGGCCAAGUGAUGAAUGUAGCUCAGCUAACGCGAUAAAAUAUAUAAGCUAAACUUCUUAUCAAUAACUUAACACAAAUUUAAACUACAGAUGGAAAGUAAAGAUGUGAUGAAUUGGAAAGGUAAAAACAUGUAAUAUAUAUUAAAGAAUGUAAGUCUUCGACCACUAUACAAUAUGAAUAACAUAUAUUACAUACAAAUACAAAAAUGGAAAGUAUCGAAUAGAAAAUAUUACAAGUUAGGGGAAACUAGAACAUGGAUUCUUCUCUACCCAGAAUCUAAACUUUCACGUUACAAUUUGAUUGAAUAAGAAGAAGAAAACCUCUUUACAGAUGGUAGAAAGAUUAUUCCUUUCCACCUCUCUCUAGGGUUUGGCCUAUUUAGAUUGUCCUUGUAAAUAGUGUAGAAGAAGGCUUUUUAUAGACAACUUUUAGGCUGGAAACUAUUUCUUUCGUUGUGUCAGUGCCUAAAGUAGCCUCUGUCAACAGGUCACAUCACUCCAACUGCGGCUUUUGUCUUAUAUCGAACUUUUUCUCGCAAUAUGGCCUUCUCGUCUAAUUUUCGCGCAAGUUUCCUUGUGAUUCGCUAGCUUCAUCUUUUGUUCAUAAACAUGCAUUAAAACAAUAAAAACACAGUAAAAGAGGCAUGAGAGCUUAUGUAAGGUGCAUUUCCAAAUAUUUAUAGAUUUUCAACAUAAGCUAUGCGUUUUGACAAUUUUACUAUGCAUUUUGACUUCAUUAUCUAUUUGAAAGGCCAUAGUAAGUUGUAUUUCUACAAGUUAUCUAUAACUAAGUUGUAACAGAUCACUUGGCCCACGAUUUGGACAAACUGAUAAGGUCUUACGCUUCACCAAAUGUCUAUGAUUUCAACAGUGGGUUAAGACCCUAAGUUUGGCGAAACUGUGCGGUUUGAAAUCAAACUCAUAAUGUUGUAAAUAAUUAACUAAAUAUGCAAUGAAUAGAGAGAUACAGAAAAAUGAGAGAAUCAUAAAAAGAAAACAUCAAUAACAUAAAUUGACUUUUAAGCCUAUCUCGUUAUAGAGUCAAUAUUACAAAUCAAUGUUAUAAAAUACACAAAUGGAACACAGAAAAGUGAAGCAAGUUGUAGAGUAUCAGUGUUCAUACUCUUUGGCUCUGAGUUUUUGCCUUUACACGGAGGGGAAAUAGAAGGGAGAAUCUCUCUCUCUUCAGACUUUUACCUAAAACAGAGACAAAAUAGAGGAAGAAGGGUUCUUGCUGUCUGCAACAAAGUCUGCCAAAAUUCACACUCCUCCAAUGAAGAAGAAACUU